Molecule: ribosomal RNA, 405 nt
Filed under: uncultured bacterium
Lineage: Bacteria
Description: bacterial SSU rRNA
Rfam family: Bacterial small subunit ribosomal RNA
Source: RNAcentral
AACGCGAAGAACCUUACCAAGUCUUGACAUCGGAAUGACCGUCCCGUAACGGGGGCUUCCCUUCGGGGCAUUCCAGACAGGUGGUGCAUGGUUGUCGUCAGCUCGUGUCGUGAGAUGUUGGGUUAAGUCCCGCAACGAGCGCAACCCUUAUCCUUAGUAGCCAGCACAUCAUGGUGGGCACUCUGGGGAGACUGCCAGGGAUAACCUGGAGGAAGGUGGGGAUGACGUCAAAUCAUCAUGCCCCUUAUGAUUUGGGCUACACACGUGCUACAAUGGCGUAAACAAAGGGAAGCAAAGGAGCGAUCUGGAGCAAAUCCCAAAAAUAACGUCUCAGUUCGGAUUGUAGUCUGCAACUCGACUACAUGAAGCUGGAAUCGCUAGUAAUCGCAGAUCAGAAUGCUGCGG